This 269-nucleotide long non-coding RNA is filed under the name Elaeis guineensis (African oil palm). RNAcentral describes it as "long non-coding RNA (EGUI_LNC041770)". The record is from RNAcentral. Lineage: Eukaryota; Viridiplantae; Streptophyta; Magnoliopsida; Arecales; Arecaceae.
UGGAUGAUCUACAUAGGGGGAUCACUAGGAGUCAAGGAUCAUCAGAGAUCGAAGCUAGGAUUGGAGGGUCCCAAGUUACGCAUUGGAUGACUUUAGACGGUUCUUUUAUGGUACAAGAGAAACACAUAUUCCUUCGAAACUAAAUACUUUCAUCCCCGACUGUGCCAUGACAUUGGCCUUGUAUAUCAUAUCUGCCUUUCCAUUAAUCUAUGUCUUCGGCUUGGAUGACAAAUUUUCUUUUAACAUGAUCUAAUUUACUCCAAAGAGGA